This 670-nucleotide ribosomal RNA is filed under the name uncultured euryarchaeote. Its description in RNAcentral is "bacterial SSU rRNA". It matches the Rfam family "Archaeal small subunit ribosomal RNA", at positions 83 to 757 of the family's 1478-position model. Lineage: Archaea; Methanobacteriati; Methanobacteriota. The record is from RNAcentral.
CGGCUCAGUAACACGUGGAUAACCUACCCUCAGAUCUGGGAUAACUCCGGGAAACUGGAGAUAAUACCGGAUAAUCCGUGAACGCUGGAAUGCCUUACGGUUGAAAGCUUUAGCGUCUGAGGAUGGGUCUGCGGCCGAUUAGGUAGUUGCUGGGGUAACGUCCCAACAAGCCGAUAAUCGGUACGGGUUGUGAGAGCAAGAGCCCGGAGAUGGAUUCUGAGACACGAAUCCAGGUCCUACGGGGCGCAGCAGGCGCGAAAACUUUACACUGCGCGAAAGCGCGAUAAGGGGACCUCGAGUGCGUGCGCAAAGCGUACGCUUUUCAGAUGCCUAAAAAGCAUCUGGAAUAAGGGCCGGGCAAGACCGGUGCCAGCCGCCGCGGUAACACCGGCGGCUCAAGUGGUGGCCGCUAUUAUUGGGCUUAAAGGGUCCGUAGCCGGACCAGUUAGUCCCUUGGGAAAUCUUACGGCUUAACCGUAAGGCUGCCAAUGGAUACUGCUGGUCUUGGGACCGGGAGAGGCAAGAGGUACCUCAGGGGUAGGAGUGAAAUCCUGUAAUCCUUGAGGGACCGCCAGUGGCGAAGGCGUCUUGCUAGAACGGGUCCGACGGUGAGGGACGAAAGCUAGGGGCACGAACCGGAUUAGAUACCCCGGGUAGUCCUAGCCGUAAA